AACGAACGCUGGCGGCAUGCCUAACACAUGCAAGUCGAACGAGACCUUCGGGUCUAGUUGCGCACGGGUGCGUAACGCGUGGGAACCUGCCUUUAGGUUCGGAAUAACUCAGAGAAAUUUGAGCUAAUACCGGAUGAUUUCUUCGGACCAAAGAUUUAUCGCCUUUAGAUGGGCCCGCGUUGGAUUAGCUAGUUGGUGGGGUAAAGGCCUACCAAGGCGACGAUCCAUAGCUGGUCUGAGAGGAUGAUCAGCCACACUGGGACUGAGACACGGCCCAGACUCCUACGGGAGGAAGAAGUGGGGAAUAUUGGACAAUGGGCGAAAGACUGAUACAGCAAGGCCGCGUGAGUGAUGAAGGCCUUAGGGUUGUAAAGCUCUUUUAGCCGAGAUGAUAAUGACAGUAGCGGGAGAAUAAGCGCCGGCUAACUACGUG
RNAcentral lists this ribosomal RNA (433 nucleotides) under uncultured bacterium. RNAcentral describes it as "partial 16S ribosomal RNA". It matches the Rfam family "Bacterial small subunit ribosomal RNA", at positions 29 to 507 of the family's 1533-position model. The record is from RNAcentral.